AGAGUUUGAUCCUGGCUCAGAUUGAACGCUGGCGGCAUGCCUUACACAUGCAAGUCGAACGGCAGCACGGGAGCAAUCCUGGUGGCGAGUGGCGAACGGGUGAGUAAUAUAUCGGAACGUGCCCAGUAAUGGGGGAUAGCCCGGCGAAAGCCGGAUUAAUACCGCAUACGACCUACGGGUGAAAGCGGGGGAUCGCAAGACCUCGCGUUAUUGGAGCGGCCGAUAUCAGAUUAGCUUGUUGGUGGGGUAAAAGCCUACCAAGGCGACGAUCUGUAGCUGGUCUGAGAGGACGACCAGCCACACUGGGACUGAGACACGGCCCAGACUCCUACGGGAGGCAGCAGUGGGGAAUUUUGGACAAUGGGCGCAAGCCUGAUCCAGCCAUGCCGCGUGCGGGAAGAAGGCCUUCGGGUUGUAAACCGCUUUUGUCAGGGAAGAAACGGUCUGAUCUAAUAAAUCGGACUAAUGACGGUACCUGAAGAAUAAGCACCGGCUAACUACGUGCCAGCAGCCGCGGUAAUAC
Molecule: ribosomal RNA, 523 nt
Filed under: uncultured bacterium
Lineage: Bacteria
Description: bacterial SSU rRNA
Rfam family: Bacterial small subunit ribosomal RNA
Source: RNAcentral